This 115-nucleotide ribosomal RNA is filed under the name Kiritimatiellaceae bacterium. The record is from RNAcentral. Lineage: Bacteria; Pseudomonadati; Kiritimatiellota; Kiritimatiellia; Kiritimatiellales; Kiritimatiellaceae.
UUCGGUGGCUAUAGCGAGAGGGAUCCACCCGUUCCCAUUCCGAACACGGAAGUUAAGCCUCUCAGCGGCAAUGGUACUACAGAUAAGACUGUGGGAGAGUAGCACGCUGCCGGAU